RNAcentral lists this ribosomal RNA (251 nucleotides) under uncultured bacterium. RNAcentral describes it as "partial 16S ribosomal RNA". It matches the Rfam family "Bacterial small subunit ribosomal RNA", at positions 526 to 776 of the family's 1533-position model. The record is from RNAcentral.
CGGGGGGGGCAAGCGUUGUUCGGAAUUACUGGGCGUAAAGGGCUCGUAGGCGGCCAACUAAGUCAGACGUGAAAUCCCUCGGCUUAACCGGGGAACUGCGUCUGAUACUGGAUGGCUUGAAUCCGGGAGAGGGAUGCGGAAUUCCAGGUGUAGCGGUGAAAUGCGUAGAUAUCAGGAGGAACACCAAUGGCGAAGGCAGCUCGCUGGGACGGUACUGACGCUGAGACGCGAAAGCGUGGGGAGCAAACAGG